GACGAACGCUGGCGGCGUGCUUAACACAUGCAAGUCGAACGGAAAGGCCCUGCUUUUGUGGGGUGCUCGAGUGGCGAACGGGUGAGUAACACGUGAGUAACCUGCCCUUGACUUUGGGAUAACUUCAGGAAACUGGGGCUAAUACCGGAUAGGAGCUCCUGCUGCAUGGUGGGGGUUGGAAAGUUUCGGCGGUUGGGGAUGGACUCGCGGCUUAUCAGCUUGUUGGUGGGGUAGUGGCUUACCAAGGCUUUGACGGGUAGCCGGCCUGAGAGGGUGACCGGCCACAUUGGGACUGAGAUACGGCCCAGACUCCUACGGGAGGCAGCAGUGGGGAAUAUUGCACAAUGGGCGGAAGCCUGAUGCAGCAACGCCGCGUGCGGGAUGACGGCCUUCGGGUUGUAAACCGCAUGCGCCUGUGACGAAGCGUGAGUGACGGUAAUGGGUAAAGAAGCACCGGCUAACUACGUG
This 468-nucleotide ribosomal RNA is filed under the name uncultured bacterium. RNAcentral describes it as "partial 16S ribosomal RNA". It matches the Rfam family "Bacterial small subunit ribosomal RNA", at positions 28 to 507 of the family's 1533-position model. The record is from RNAcentral.